AUUAUGUUGAAAAUAAACAGUCAUAUAUAUUUGAAGAAAUGGUUCAAAUGUUUCUACCCGUUCCCAAAAUUGAAUGGACUAUGACAGCACUCAUCUUGUUU
Molecule: non-coding RNA, 101 nt
Organism: Clostridium sp. CAG:1000
Lineage: Bacteria; Bacillati; Bacillota; Clostridia; Eubacteriales; Clostridiaceae
Source: Rfam